RNAcentral lists this ribosomal RNA (492 nucleotides) under uncultured bacterium. Its description in RNAcentral is "partial 16S ribosomal RNA". It matches the Rfam family "Bacterial small subunit ribosomal RNA", at positions 29 to 507 of the family's 1533-position model. The record is from RNAcentral.
AGUGAACGCUGGCGGUAGGCCUAACACAUGCAAGUCGAACGGCAGCACAGUAAGAGCUUGCUCUUACGGGUGGCGAGUGGCGGACGGGUGAGGAAUACAUCGGAAUCUACUUUUUCGUGGGGGAUAACGUAGGGAAACUUACGCUAAUACCGCAUACGACCUACGGGUGAAAGCAGGGGAUCUUCGGACCUUGCGCGAUUGAAUGAGCCGAUGUCGGAUUAACUAGUUGGCGGGGUAAAGGCCCACCAAGGCGACGAUCCGUAGCUGGUCUGAGAGGAUGAUCAGCCACACUGGAACUGAGACACGGUCCAGACUCCUACGGGAGGCAGCAGUGGGGAAUAUUGGACAAUGGGCGCAAGCCUGAUCCAGCCAUACCGCGUGGGUGAAGAAGGCCUUCGGGUUGUAAAGCCCCUUUGUUGGGAAAGAAAAGCAGCAGGUUAAUACCCCGCUGUUCUGACGGUACCCAAAGAAUAAGCACCGGCUAACUUCGUG